GCUGCUGUCAUGCUGUGGUUUGCUGCUGCUCUGGGAUCAGUGAUUCCAGAUCAGUGUUCAGUCCUGAUGAGCAGUCUUUAUCUCUGAGUGGAGACCAUACAAACACAGAGACUACGGUAAGAAGAGCUUCACGCUAUAAUACAGUAUAUUGUGUUUUAUUAGUUUCUGUGUAUCAUGAUGCCAGUGUUUUAUCAGCAGAUGAAUGAAUCAGGCCUCGAUAAUUAUACUGGAACACUGGGAGACAGUGACGACAGCGUUGACGGUGCAAAAUACACACUCUUAUACACCCACACUUACUAACGUACCGUUAAUACUAUAGUAUCAUAAUAACAUGCAUUUGGACACUAACAUAAUGAUAAAAAAACAACAUGCAUUUGUUCGUCAAACAGAUCAAGACUCAAAAAACCUGCUGGCGGCUUCCUGGGAGUUUAUCCAUCAGGAAAGACAGAUUAAAGAGGUAAAGACCCGAUGAAACACUCACAGUAUGCUAAUGCUAACAGGAAAUGGCUAACAGGAAGUGGUUCUCACAGCAGUGUGGAGAUGACGGAGGAGGAAGUGGAGAGCGCGUUUACCCAGUUUGCAAUGGGGUUUCACUGCGACCCGUACACGCUGACCCAGCGGCUGCAGGCGGAGCGACACGACACGACCGCAGCGUCGCCGUGGAGAACCUGCAGAGAGAGCUGAGACAGAGCAGAGAGAUGCUGCAGGUGUUGUAUGAGCAUCUGCCAGAGGUGGACAGCAGAAAGAUGGUGCAUCAGAUGGAAAAUAACCUUCAGUUGCUGGAAAACAACAUGGACAAUGUCCUCAAAACAGCAGAGAUGCUUGGUGCUGCACACCAGGAAGCGCGAGUCAGUUAUGCAGUAGAGCUGAUGUCAGUGCACAUGGAGCAUCUGAAGAGACGCCAUGCAACAGUGAGCGAGGAGAUGCUGGAGGUCAGGAAGCUGCUGCACAGGAGGAAGGGCCGAUUACACAGUGACUCCACAGAUGACUGAGACCUGUUCAGACAUUCAUCACAACAGCCUGUGUUUAUGUCGUAGCCGACACAUCGCAGGGUCAGCAUCACGUUACUUCCGACUCAAUCUGAGGCACGUGUUUCUGGUUCAGUUUCCAGCGUUCAGUUCUUUGGGUUUAGCAGCUGAAUGUUUUCAUGAGUCUUUAUGUUGGUUUCUUCUCUGCAGUUGAAGCAUCUAGAGACGUCAUUUCUGGAGAACUGCAAAACCAGUGCAGACUCAAAGAAGCGGCCUGCUACGCAGGAGGAGACAGGAGGCAAAAAUACACAUCCUUAAGUUUGAGGGUAGCUAAAACUUUAAUUAACCAGAAAGACUGACUGUUUCCUGCGUGCAUCUCUUUUAGACGUAGUUCCAGCAGAUUCUCCUGUGAACCGGCUAAACCAAGAUGACAGCGUGUUUCAAAGGUAAAACGCAAGCAGUACUUUGAGAUAUGUAUUACAUACAUUAUGUAAGUGCAUGUGACCAAACUUCAUUUUCGCCAGUGUGACACAAGUCACACCGCUGUGUCGUCGCCGUUGUUAUUCUCCAGUCGAAACGAGGGGAAGUUUAUUUGAGGGGGAGGAGCCAGAACGAGGGGAGGGGUCCAACCCUGAGCUGUAAGUUUACAUGUAUUCAUCAUAAUUUACGAGCGUAAAUCAUACCGCUGACUUGCUAUCUGAUGUUUGCAGACGUCUCACACCACUGUUGUCCUG
Molecule: long non-coding RNA, 1702 nt
Organism: Sinocyclocheilus anshuiensis
Lineage: Eukaryota; Metazoa; Chordata; Actinopteri; Cypriniformes; Cyprinidae
Source: Ensembl